Molecule: RNA transcript, 2883 nt
Organism: Pyrus x bretschneideri (Chinese white pear)
Lineage: Eukaryota; Viridiplantae; Streptophyta; Magnoliopsida; Rosales; Rosaceae
Gene name: pentatricopeptide repeat-containing protein At4g28010
Exons: 3
Source: RefSeq, a predicted model, not a curated record
AAAUGUCCAACUUUUCAGCGUCUCUCUCUCUCUCUCAAGAGCUCGGCAUGCUUGCUUUAACUCCAUCAACAACAUCUUUGGUGUGCGGCGGCGGCGGCGGCGGCGGAGGCGGAGGCGUCGGUUAAGGUACCACCGUCACCAAUCCUCCGAGUUACAUAUUCAAAAUGAUGAUAAAGCAACUUCUUAAACUGCACCCUAGCUGUAACUUCCCCUCCCAUGGCUUCUGGGUUUACUCAAGGCACUUCUCUUCACUCCCAUCUAUCACUUCUACCUCUGAUAUCGAAACCCAAUUGAGGUUUCACUGUGAGAAGUCCGACCCUCAGGUUUCCGAGGCGGUUUCGGGUUUCCUCCGCGCCGUCGAUACGAACCGCUUGCCUUCUGGGGCAGCCUGUAAUUUGCUCGUGCACACUCUCACAAAGUCGAAAAAUUAUGAAUUGGCGUUUUCUGUUUAUAGUAAGAUGACCAAUGUUGGUCUUCGUCCGAGUUUUAUAUCAUUGAGUUGUUUAGUAGCUUGUUUUGUUAACUCCCAUCACCCUGAAUUCGCAGCCGGGGUGUUGGGAUUGUUGUUAAAGCGUGGAUUUCAGUUAAAUGCGUUUGUUCUGAAUCUUACAUUGAAGGGUUUGUGCGCUAACGAUGAGAUUGACAAGGCGAUUGAGUUGUUUCGUGUAACGGGAAGAAAUUAUGUAAUCCCGGAUAUUGUUAGUUACAACAUUCUUAUAAACGGAUUGUGCAGGGUGAAAAAUUUGAAAGAAGCAACUGAGUUGCUGGUUGAUAUGGAGUUGUCUGGUUCUGAGCCGAAUGUGACGACAUACAGCACUUUGAUCAAUGGAUUCUGCAAGGAUGGUCGAGUGGAUGAGGCGAUGGGUUUGUUGGAGGAAUUGAAGCAAAAGGGUUUGGAAGCGGAUGUUGUAGUGUACAGUACCAUUAUAAGUGCUUUUUGUGAUAAAGGGGGUUUCGAUAGAGCCAAAGAAAUUUUUGAUGAGAUGUUAAAGAAGGGUAUUCCUCCGAAUGUGGUUACAUAUAGUUGUUUCAUAAAUAAUCUCUCCAAGAUAGGGAAAUGGAAAGAAGCCACCGCGAUGUUAAAUGAUAUGAUAGAGUGUGGAGUUCUCCCUGAUGUUAUUACUUAUACAGGCUUAAUUGACGGGCUUUUCAAAAGUGGAAGGGCUACAAAAGCCAUGGAGCUAUUCAGUCUAAUACUAUCGAGGGGUGAAGAGCCUAACACUGUAACAUACAAUGUUAUGAUUGAUGGACUGUGCAAGCAAGGCUUGGUGGAUGAGGCUUUUAAGAUUUUUGAAAUGAUGAAGGGUAAGGGUAAACAGCCUGAUGUAAUUACAUACAACGUGUUACUGAUGGGGCUUUCAUGUCGCGGGAAGGUAGAUGAGGCAAUGGAACUUUUCAGUAUGAUAUCAAAAGAUGAGAACUUUCUUGAGCCAGAUGUUAUCACAUAUAACAUGCUAAUUAUUGGACUCUGCAAGGAAGGCAAUCUCGAUAAAGCUAGGGAUAUUUAUAAUACUAUGGUUGAAAGGGGCAUUGCAGGUAACUUAGUUACUUAUAAUGCUUUGAUAGGUGCAUGUCUAGAGGAAGGAUUUGUGGGUGAGGCCAUCAAAUUCUGGAGACGUGCACUUGACUUGGGAUUGGUUCCGAAUGAAAUUACUUACGGUGUCUUGAUCAGUGGAUUUUGUAAGACUCAUCUGCUUAGGUUUGCAAAAGGACUCUUUAGUCAAAUGAGAGCUUCUGGGGUUAGUCCUACUUUGAUUGACUACAACAUUUUGAUGCUAUCCUUGUGCAAGGAGAGUAGUGUGGAGCAAGCUAGGAUGCUAUUUGAGGAGAUGAGGCGUUCAAAUUGUGUGCCAAAUCUAGUCUCAUUUAAUACAAUAAUUGAUGGAACUCUAAAAGCAGGAGAUGUUGAAUCUGCUAAGGGCUUGCUGCAGGACAUGUGUAAAAUGGAUUUAACUCCUGAUGCCUUUACCUUUUCCAUAUUAGUAAGCCGGUUCUCGAAACUUGGGCUUUUGGAUGAGGCUAAAAUGGUUCUCAAGAAGAUGAUUGAUUGUGGUGUUGAACCUGAUGCCUUUGUUUUCGAUUCUUUACUAAAGGGCUAUUGUUUAAAGGGUGAAACAGAAGAAAUCAUUAAUUUGCUUCAUCAGAUGGCAGACAAGGGUGUCGUUCUCGACUCAGAAAUAACUUCUACCAUCUUGGAAUGCCUAUGUGAAAUCUCAGACGAUGUUGAUGUGAUGAAGAUUCUCCCAACUUUUUCCCAAGAAACAUCAAAAGGAGCAAGCAUUACCUGCAAUGAGCUGUUGGUGAAACUCAGUAACUCUCAUCCAGAACUUAAAUUGUCCCAAGAGAGACAUCCAGUGCCCGGAUAAAUCUGCUGCUUGUUCUAUCUUAUGAUUAGUUAGCUGGGAAACUAGAAUUGGGAAAUCCCGAGCAGAUCUGCCACAUCUUACAAGUAGUUUUAACCGUGUAGCAUGGAAUUCAUUGGUAAAACUGAAGCUGCAAGGUGUGAUGAGAUUCUGAUAACGGUGUUAUCUGGGACUCAAGCCAUUGCUGGAGAUCUCGAUGGAGUCAUCUUCCUUGUCCCUUCACGUUACAGAAGUUGUGAAAUUUGUUUGAGGAAGCUCAUGCAGGUUGCGCAAUCCAGAAUUUUGUUACGAAGUAAAUACUAAGCAUCCAGAGCGCCGGAACUCUUUGUGGUUAUAUGUUUUGGCUUAUAAAAUCCUGACUUCUAUGAUCAAGGUAGUUUUGGGCUCGAUCUUCGGCCAUGGUCUCUGUAGAAUCGAGGGUGUCUUCCUUCUCCAGGUUGUUGCUGGAUUGGAAAACUGCACCGAGUUGAUUGUUGUUACGAUUUUUUGUUUUCAUUUAUUUUAGGUGUAAUUAGGCAUA